AUCACCACUUUUCCGGCCCGGCCCAACGAGCAGUUGAUCUGGGACGAGGGCAAAUCCCCACCGGCGGAGCGGGCAACGGCGGCGAGGUUCUCCGUCCGCCGCCGCCGCCGCCGACUGCUGCACGGCGCCGAGAGGACAGGUGACAAAUAGGGGGCAGAUCCCACAAGGAAUCACAUGGAUCAUUAUCAUUACCCAUAUCAAAGCUUUCCUGCUCCUGGACGCCAUUCAUGCCAUGGGCUGAUGGAGAGCCUUGCUUCUCUGUCUUCAUCUUAUCCUGGUCCAAGGCCACUGAGCAGGCAUUGGUGCCUGCUAUGCCGCAUCCAUUCCCAAGCGGUAGGCUGGUGUUGAGUGCCCAUGACUGAUCAAAUUGUUGUGAAGCCAGCUGCAAGUCUUCGGCUCCACCAUUCAGGAUGUGCGAUAAGAUCAACAUGCCUGAUGCUUCCUGUAGAAAUUACUGAACAAUGGGCUUCAACCCACCCUCAGGGUAGUAUUAUGGUUUAACCCCCAGACUAUGGGCCUUGAAAAGAUAUUCUAUCCCACCAAAGGAAAACGAAGCAGGUCGUGAAGACACGAUUUUUUUGCCACUUGGCAGCACCUGUGGGGCUAAUGGCUUCAUGUUAGGUGACAAGAUUGGUGAAGAUGUUAGCAUUUUACAAGAGAGGAUUAAAGAAUGUUGUUAGCUAUAAUCUAAUGCUAUGGCCGGGGCAGGAUGUUUUGUUUAUCAAGCAGAUGUGCAGAGAUCAGAUCGUGCAUUAUAACCUGAUGAAAUGGAAUAUUUCGAGUUUAGUUCACGAUGUUUGACUCAGGUAGUUCUAAUUUUGAUGUGUUUUUUUCCUUGGUUUAUGUUAAGUGGAAGAUUAUUUCAUUAGAUGUAUUUAUAUUUCAUUAGAUGUACUUUGCUGUGAGGUGGUAAUGUAGUUUGGACGGUUUUCAACUAUUUUUUUUAGUUGCUUACUGCAUUGGCAGUUUGGACUGCAUAUGUACAUAUGGUUCUGACACCGUGAAAUCUCAUGAGUCAAUUGUCUGAAUUUUGCAAUGUUUUUAUAUGAUUUGAAACAAUGGUUAUAUUUUCAGGCACACUUCUUGGGUUUGCAUGAUGUACAAACUUGUUUCAUUUCACCACAUUUUAUUGUCAUGGUCAGAGACUUAGGUUGGCAAAAUGAAGUCAACUGCAGAUGUGGCAGCAGGUUGCUUGUGCCUCAGAGGCAAAGAUUAUCCUUAGCUCCAUCAACUAACAAUUUGUGUAUAAAAUAUAAUAAAUUCCUGCGUUGAGAAAUGCAGAGGUCAAAGUUAAUGGAGUGCACCAUCUCCAAAUUAAAAAAAAAAGAAAAGAAAUGGAUGAAAAAUAAGAAGAGGAGAAAUAGAAAACGAAGAGAAAAUCUCACAUGAUAAUACAGAAUCGUUAUAUGAAUAAUUAAAGACACAUCAUGGAUUGAAAAUUAAAUGUCUUGAGAAACAUGUAGGACCUAUUUUGUGUGAAGUGGAGAUCAUGGCUUAGGUGUACUCCUCAGAUGUUCA
Molecule: long non-coding RNA, 1518 nt
Organism: Oryza brachyantha (malo sina)
Lineage: Eukaryota; Viridiplantae; Streptophyta; Magnoliopsida; Poales; Poaceae
Exons: 4
Source: RefSeq, a predicted model, not a curated record